GAAAUGCGAUAAGUAGCGUGAAUUGCAGAAUUCAGUGAAUCAUCGAAUCUUUGAACGCACAUUGCGCCCUUUGGUAUUCCUUAGGGCAUGCCUGUUCGAGCGUCAUUUGUAACCUCAAGCUCAGCUUGGUGUUGGGUGUCUGUCCCCGCCCCGCGCGGGGACUCGCCUCAAAAACAUUGGCGGCCGGUACGUUGGCUUCGAGCGCAGCAGAAACGCGAACUCGAGGCCCGACGGAUCGGCGACCAGAAGUCACUUCUUCCACAGCUUGACCUCGGAUCAGGUAGGGAUACCCGCUGAACUUAAGC
RNAcentral lists this unclassified non-coding RNA (305 nucleotides) under plant metagenome. Its description in RNAcentral is "partial contains 5.8S ribosomal RNA, internal transcribed spacer 2, and large subunit ribosomal RNA". The stretch from base 1 to 105 matches the Rfam family "5.8S ribosomal RNA", at positions 50 to 154 of the family's 154-position model. The record is from RNAcentral.